Molecule: ribosomal RNA, 265 nt
Filed under: uncultured Acaulospora
Lineage: Eukaryota; Fungi; Glomeromycota; Glomeromycetes; Diversisporales; Acaulosporaceae
Description: partial 18S ribosomal RNA
Rfam family: Eukaryotic small subunit ribosomal RNA
Source: RNAcentral
AAGCUCGUAGUUGAAUUUCGGGAUUCGUCGGUUGGUCGGGCUUCACUGUCCGCACUGACCUGACGGAUUCCUACCUUCUGAAUAACCAGCAUGCUAUUAAGUUAGUGCGUUGGGGAAGCAGAGCUAUUACCUUGAAAAAAUUAGAGUGCUUAAAGCAGGCUUGUGCUUGAAUAGAUUAGCACGGAAUAAUAAAAUAGGACGGCAAUGGUUCUAUUUUAGUUUGGUUUCUUAGGAGUCACCGUAAUGAUUAAUAGGGAUAGUUGGG